AACGAACGCUGGCGGCAUGCCUAACACAUGCAAGUCGAACGAGACCUUCGGGUCUAGUGGCGCACGGGUGCGUAACGCGUGGGAACCUGCCUUUAGGUUCGGAAUAACUCAGAGAAAUUUGAGCUAAUACCGGAUGAUGUCUUCGGACCAAAGAUUUAUCGCCUUUAGAUGGGCCUGCGUUGGAUUAGCUAGUUGGUGGGGUAAAGGCCUACCAAGGCGACGAUCCAUAGCUGGUUUGAGAGGAUGAUCAGCCACACUGGGACUGAGACACGGCCCAGACUCCUACGGGAGGCAGCAGUGGGUAAUAUUGGACAAUGGGGGAAAGCAUGAUCCAGCAAUGCCGCGUGAGUGAUGAAGGCCGUAGGGUUGUAAAGCUCUUUUACCCGAGAUGAUAAUGACAGUAUCGGGAGAAUAAGCACCGGCUAACUCCGUG
Molecule: ribosomal RNA, 433 nt
Filed under: uncultured bacterium
Lineage: Bacteria
Description: partial 16S ribosomal RNA
Rfam family: Bacterial small subunit ribosomal RNA
Source: RNAcentral